UUUGGGUUGGAACGGACCUUAAAGAUCAUCCAAUUCCACACACCAUCCCAUGGGCACGGACACCUUCCAUCAGAACAGGCUGCUCAGAGCUUCAUCCAGCCUGGCCUUGAGAGGUUCAUUGUCUGGCAGCAAAACAUAGAAGGGUAGCAGUAGCACUAUCACCCCCCAACAGCUCAAUAACAUCCACCACAUCACUGCACCCCCAAAACUGCCAAGAGCUGCCAGGCCCUUCUUUGUGCCAACACUCCCAGCCUUCCUACCCACUGGCUGAGAUUUUCAGGUCAAGCCAAGUGUGGACUUCAGUGAAAGGGGAUGGCACCCCCAGACCAGGUUGGCCCCAUCCAACCUGGCCAGCCAAUGAAGAGACAUGCACAUGCAAAGAUAACAUGCAAAACCAAACCCUGGCUGAUAAAAAUGUUUGAAAAUGUUGUCUUCAGAUUUGCACAAGACGUUAAGCAAGAGUAACUUGUAAAUUGCUUCCAGCAACUUCAAGACAACAAGGGAACAAACAACUAUCAACAGGCAUUACACUCAUUUCUUCACACGAAAACAGUUAUGAGGCUGAAGGGAUCCUGACAGGCAAUUGGAAAGCAGUCCUUUUUAUGCUAAAUUUACUGUAUUUUAGUCCAAUUUUCCAUGAUUUAAAAUGUGCGAUGCAAUAAAGAGCUGGAAUGCCUUCUUUUGUCA
Molecule: long non-coding RNA, 687 nt
Filed under: Manacus vitellinus (golden-collared manakin)
Lineage: Eukaryota; Metazoa; Chordata; Aves; Passeriformes; Pipridae
Description: lncRNA (ENSMVIG00005006389.1)
Source: RNAcentral